RNAcentral lists this ribosomal RNA (774 nucleotides) under uncultured Neocallimastigales. Its description in RNAcentral is "partial large subunit ribosomal RNA". It matches the Rfam family "Eukaryotic large subunit ribosomal RNA", at positions 24 to 646 of the family's 3401-position model. The record is from RNAcentral. Lineage: Eukaryota; Fungi; Neocallimastigomycota; Neocallimastigomycetes; Neocallimastigales.
GUAGUCUCGCACAGAUGCAUAUCAAUAAGCGGAGGAAAAGAAACUAACAAGGAUUCCCCUAGUAACGGCGAGUGAAGCGGGAAGAGCUCAAAUUUGAAAUCUUAAAGGGUUUCCCUUUACGAAUUGUAGUUUAAAGAAGUGUUUUCUGUUGAGGUUUUGGUAAAAGUUCUUUGGAAUAGGACAUCAUAGAGGGUGAGAAUCCCGUAUUUGACCAUUACUUUCAACUUCGUGAUACACUUUCAAAGAGUCGGAUUGUUUGGGAAUGCAGUCCAAAAUGGGUGGUAAAUUUCAUCUAAAGCUAAAUAUUGGCGAGAGACCGAUAGCGAACAAGUACCGUGAGGGAAAGAUGAAAAGAACUUUGAAAAGAGAGUUAAACAGUACGUGAAAUUGUCAAAAGGGAAGCGUUUGACACCAGUGUUGUUUUUCUGAAAAUCAAUUAAAGAACUGUUUAUGCUAAGUUGUUUAGACUUUAUCAGCUAACUGUUUAGUUUUGAGCUUUUCUUUAAUGCACUUUUCAGUUAACAAGUCAACAUCAAUUUCUUUCGCUGUAAAAAAGCUUGAGGAGGGUGGCUUGAGAUUCGUCUUAAGUGUUUAUAGCCUCUUGCCUAUGCAGUCGGAGAGAUUGAGGUCUGCAGCGUAGAUCCUUCGGGGCUAAAUGCAUUUGUGCUAAGUUAUAGCAUUUUAUAGACAACUUGUUGACUAUGAUUUGUCUUGUAGCUUACUCGCUUAUGUUAUUUUACCUACGCUUAGGAUGUUGAUCUGUAGUGCGUGCGC